Molecule: long non-coding RNA, 483 nt
Filed under: Panax ginseng (ginseng)
Lineage: Eukaryota; Viridiplantae; Streptophyta; Magnoliopsida; Apiales; Araliaceae
Description: long non-coding RNA (PGIN_LNC000897)
Source: RNAcentral
UUAAUGUUUAUUUUACAGAAUACUUAAUGUAUGUAUAAUAUAUGUAGGGUUGGAGCCGGCAGAGGGAAGGACGUGCGAGUCACAGAGCCACAAGUUCAAGGGGACAUGCGCGAGCGGGACCAACUGUGCUAAUGUUUGCAAGACGGAGGGCUUUCCCGGCGGCAAAUGCAGGGGUUUCCGUCGCCGUUGCUUCUGCACCACACAUUGUUAACUAAGAACAAUAUCUUAAUUAAUUUCUAUCUAUCUUUCCUUUGCUUUUCUUUUAAUUAUCGUAAUUCUGCAUGGGGUUGUACGUAUGUGUGUGCAAAUAACUGUGACCGUAUCCUUUGACCACAGUACUACUGAAUGUUUCUAUUUUCUCGGCAGCCUGUAGUAAAAAAUUAAGUAAUUGUUUGGUGUACGUCUACCUUAAUUAUGUAAUGUGCGUGAGAUCUUGCUUUUCUUCAAAAAUUGAUAAUAAUUAACUUCGUCUUCAUAUCUCCC